UCCGAAGGGUGCUAGCGUUGCUCGGAAUCACUGGGCGUAAAGCGCACGUAGGCGGCUUUCUAAGUCAGGGGUGAAAUCCUGGAGCUCAACUCCAGAACUGCCUUUGAUACUGGGAAGCUCGAGUCCGGAAGAGGUGAGUGGAACUCCGAGUGUAGAGGUGAAAUUCGUAGAUAUUCGGAAGAACACCAGUGGCGAAGGCGGCUCACUGGUCCGGUACUGACGCUGAGGUGCGAAAGCGUGGGGAGCAAACAGG
This 253-nucleotide ribosomal RNA is filed under the name uncultured bacterium. Its description in RNAcentral is "partial 16S ribosomal RNA". It matches the Rfam family "Bacterial small subunit ribosomal RNA", at positions 524 to 776 of the family's 1533-position model. The record is from RNAcentral.